UUCAUUCUAUCAGCCCGUUGCUGUCUAUGCAAAGAAUGAGGCAAGCAGAAUUUAAAUCGUGGCUUGUGCCAUACUUCCUGUCACUCAAAGCUCUGCAUAGCGGUUCUCAGAGAAAGGCGAUGAAUUUGGCAGUUCCUGGAGACACAACAUGAAUGUUCAGAUUCUGCUUCUUUGGCUGAGUCCAGGUUCCUUUUUCUUUUUUUUUUUUUGUUAUAUCUUGUAAUAUUUGUUCCACCGUGGAAGGCAUGAAAAUCUCCUUUUAGUACCAAGAAAUUAUUUGAACUCAGACAAGCUUUGAAUUCUUGCUUUAAAAAUAUGUAAUCCACUUAAGAGUUUGGGAUCAUGCCUGCCACUCUGAAACAAUAUCUGAGAUGGAUAAGUGAACAUAUUUUGAAUGACACAAAUGGUUCCCAUCUACGGAAAGCAAUGACAGGAAAAAUGUGGAUGGAAUCACACUACAGGAAAGAACAAAGGCAAAAGAAAGACCCGGAAGAUGAGCCAGUUGAUCCUGAGGCUAAAUGAGGUGUUUUUGCUCAAAAGUAGUUUUAGCAGUGGUUGCGAAAGAAACAUGCUGACAGCUGAGGGAAGACUUCUGGGUAUAGUUUAAAUGCUAAUUGGCUCCUGGUCCCUGGUGGUACAAAGUUCAGUGUGAUUUAGAUUAACUGUGGCUGGGGGAAGGCAUUAUGCCUAGUUUUAGCAGUGACUGGUUACAAUUUACAGGCCUGGGAACAGGAAGAAAUGCUUAAAGCUUGACUAGUUUUGUUUGACAUACUGCUUUCUCUUCAAGGAAAGACAAGUAUGAUUUUAUUUUAUCAAGAGAAAACUGAGACACUAGAAGGUUCUGGAAUUUACCCCAAAUCGUGGAGAUGAUCGUGUAGCCGAGUUGAUUGACAUUUUCUGACUCUAAUACCGUGGUACCUAGAUCCAGGUGGGGAUUUAUGAAUAGUUAUGUCUCAGUUAUUAUAAAUUAUACAUUUCAUUUGUAUUGAUUGAUCCUAGAGCAGAUCAACAUUUUUGUUUAUUGAUUUAAAUAAGCAUUUAUUGAUUGUUGAGUACCAGCUCAGAGAUUUUGACUUAGUUGAUGUAUGGUGUGG
Cricetulus griseus (Chinese hamster) is the source of this 1094-nucleotide non-coding RNA. Lineage: Eukaryota; Metazoa; Chordata; Mammalia; Rodentia; Cricetidae. The record is from RefSeq and is a predicted model, not a curated record.